RNAcentral lists this ribosomal RNA (1339 nucleotides) under uncultured bacterium. RNAcentral describes it as "partial 16S ribosomal RNA". It matches the Rfam family "Bacterial small subunit ribosomal RNA", at positions 28 to 1381 of the family's 1533-position model. The record is from RNAcentral.
GACCUUUAUAGGCGGCGUUUCUUACACAUGCAAGAUCGAACGGACCCUUUCUGCGUGCAGGGUACUCGAGUGGCGAACGGGUGAGUAACACGUGGGUGAUCUGCCCUGCACUUCGGGAUAAGCCUGGGAAACUGGGUCUAAUACCGGAAAGGAGCCGUUUUUAGUGGGGUGGUGGAAAAGUUUUCUGGGGGUAGAAUAAGCCCCCGGCCUAUCACUUGGUGGGGGGGGAAAGGGCCUACCAAGGACGCACAGGUUACCCGGCGAGAGAGGGUGGACCGGCAUUUUGAGACUUACAUCACCCACACUACUCCUGGAGGAGGCAGGGGUGAAAGAUAUUUGUAUGCUCGCCGGAAGGAUGAUUCCACGACGCCUGGUGGAUGACGACCGUCGGGUAGGUGUUACCUUUCGCUCGCGAAUAAUCAACUGUGUCGUGACCGUACCUAGAUAAGAAGCCCGGGCUAAUACGGGCCAGCAGCGCCGUAAUACGUAGGGUGCGAGCGUUGUCCGAAAUACUGGGGUAAAAGGCUCGUAGUGGUUUGUCGCGUCGUCUGUGAAAUUCCGGGGCUUAACUCCGGGCGUGCAGGCGAUACGGGCAUAACUUGAGUACUGUAGGGGUAACUGGAAUUCCUGGUGUAGCGGUGAAAUGCGCAGAUAUCAGGAGGAACACCGAUGGCGAAGGCAGGUUACUGGGCAGUUACUGACGCUGAGGAGCGAAAGCAUGGGUAGCGAACAGGAUUAGAUACCCUGGUAGUCCAUGCCGUAAACGGUGGGCGCUAGGUGUGAGGGUCUUUUCACGACUUUCGUGCCGUAGCUAACGCAUUAAGCGCCCCGCCUGGGGAGUACGGCCGCAAGGCUAAAACUCAAAGGAAUUGACGGGGGCCCGCACAAGCGGCGGAGCAUGUGGAUUAAUUCGAUGCAACGCGAAGAACCUUACCUGGGCUUGACAUACACUGGAUCGGGCUAGAGAUAGUCUUUCCCUUUGUGGCUGGUGUACAGGUGGUGCAUGGUUGUCGUCAGCUCGUGUCGUGAGAUGUUGGGUUAAGUCCCGCAACGAGCGCAACCCUUGUCUUAUGUUGCCAGCAUUUGGUUGGGGACUCAUGAGAGACUGCCGGGGUCAACUCGGAGGAAGGUGGGGAUGACGUCAAAUCAUCAUGCCCCUUAUGUCCAGGGCUUCACACAUGCUACAAUGGUCGGUACAACGCGCAGCGACACUGUGAGGUGGAGCGAAUCGCUGAAAGCCGGCCUUAGUUCGGAUUGGGGUCUGCAACUCGACCCCAUGAAGUCGGAGUCGCUAGUAAUCGCAGAUCAGCAAUGCUGCGGUGAAUACGUUCCCGGGCCU